GAAGUUAUAAAUAAUUUAUAUUUUGGAACCACCUUGUUAAUACAUAAAAUUGUCAUGAUGUCUUAUUGCAAAUAAACGAAAACUAGUGAUGUAUACACAAGAAUUUUACAAGUUAUUCCACCAGAAGGGUGGUGUUAAUUAAUGGAAAGACAGAAGAAGAAAAAAAGGUCAUGUGUUUUGUUUACAUUCCUGGUUUGAAGUCACUUCUUCUACAACCACAGUUCGAACUUUGAAUCGACAUAUUUUCCGAGCCAGCGAUUGUAAUGGACCAGAAUGACCACGUGUUCUUGUUGAAUAAACUCUUUUAAAUCUAAUCACUCGUUUCUUUGUUGUUGUUGUUGGAUAUGUUGCACAAUUACAUUGAUCGGACAAUCCCUUUUCUGGAAUAUUAUUGGAGUUGAUGAGAUUGUAUGAUGUUGAAGUUGAUGGUGUAGGUUGUUGAAGAAGACCAAAGUUUGAUUCAAAUUCAGAUGUUCUUCCAUCACUUUGAAAUGUCUGCAUGUUCUGUGAUUGAAUUAAACAAGUUAUUGAUGCUUUCGCUAUGAGAAUAGAAAGAAGAUUGAGUUAGGAGGUGUUGUUGAUUGAUGAAUUAAGCCAAUAGAAUAGAAAUAUUGAUUUUUGAUUUGUUUAGGAUGUGCUCUGUCUUAUCUUGCUAUUUAUAUAUAUAUAGGACAGUGUCCUUAAACGAUGGGGAUGCUUCUUGGAGUGUGUUAUGAAUAUCUUAACCAACCAUGUCAAAGAAAAGGAAGGAAUCAAACAUUUGACCGAUGAUAUUUUGGUAAGGGAGUUAUUG
This 793-nucleotide long non-coding RNA is filed under the name Lathyrus oleraceus (garden pea). RNAcentral's name for it is "Pisum sativum (pea) long non-coding RNA (PSAT_LNC036877)". Lineage: Eukaryota; Viridiplantae; Streptophyta; Magnoliopsida; Fabales; Fabaceae. The record is from RNAcentral.